Molecule: long non-coding RNA, 1009 nt
Organism: Dunckerocampus dactyliophorus (ringed pipefish)
Lineage: Eukaryota; Metazoa; Chordata; Actinopteri; Syngnathiformes; Syngnathidae
Exons: 3
Source: RefSeq, a predicted model, not a curated record
ACCCUGCGGCAGGUUGACGUUGUCCGACAACGAGCGUGUGAGCUCCAUGAGCAGGGCGUCCAUGGACCGGAAGCGGUCUGCGGAGACGGCGUAAACCAGACCUUUAAAGUACUUGUCCCCAUUGCGAUAGAAGCGAACUUUCCUGGCCUUCCUCUCGGACGUGAGAGACUGCAGGGUGCGUGUGCGGUAGAAACUGCAGUGAGCACUGUGCGCCGGACUGGGCGUCAGUCCGUGGACUCUGGAGCCAGCGUGGGAUCCCGAUGAGCCGCUCCUGGGUGUCCGCCAGUGUGCUCCAGCGGCUCUCAUCAAUGGAUGGGGAGGGAAGCCCUCAGCCUCAGGGUCCUAACGGCCACCAAAUUACACGCCCCUCUAACCGGAAGUAAACAAUGGGCUGCCCUUUGACGCCCCCAAGGUUCUUCCCAUUCGAAGCGAGCCAGCUGUGUCGGAUGUGCCAAGUGAGGGAGGAAAUUAGUGCACAGAAAGGAAAUUGGAGCACUUUUCCUGCAGGCAGACAGGAUAUCCUGCAGGCAGAACAAGACAAGAGUCUCCUGUAUAAACAACAACCAGAUAGAAAAAGUCUUAAAUCUGGCCUCCAUGUUUCCUCAAAGCUGCUAAUAUAAUGCUACUAAUGAGGGAUAAAGGGAAUUGUUUUAAGGCAUUUGUAUUAAAGUAUCGUCUCUUAGGGAAACAUAAUUCAUGUGAUCCGUUGCAACCCCGCAGUAGCGGUAUUAACGUCCUUUCUCUGCUCAUAUCAUGUCAUUAAAGCUAUGAUUUUGGCUUCAAAGUUCAAGAGGAUUGCACAACUGAAUUAUUAUGGCCACAUUUCUGUCUUGAGCCAAAGACAAUGACUGGAAAGAAAAGUAUAUAGCGUCCUCUAGUGGCCAUAUUAGAAUGAACAGUAUACCUAAAGAAAAUGCUUGCAGGCUUCUGUGGUUUUGAGAUUGGUGAUGGAAAUGUCGGUUCUUUUGAGAGAGCCGGUUGUUUGGCUCGGCUCACUAAAAAGAGCCGA